AUUGAACGCUGGCGGCAUGCUUUACACAUGCAAGUCGAACGGCAGCAUGGGUGCUUGCACCUGAUGGCGAGUGGCGAACGGGUGAGUAAUGUAUCGGAACGUAUCCGGACAUGGGGGAUAACGUAGCGAAAGUUACGCUAAUACCGCAUAUGCCCUGAGGGGGAAAGGUGGGGAUCGCAAGACCUAUCGUUUUCGGAGCGGCCGAUAUCAGAUUAGCUGUUUGGUGAGGUAAAGGCUCACCAAGGCGACGAUCUGUAGCUGGUCUGAGAGGACGACCAGCCACACUGGGACUGAGACACGGCCCAGACUCCUACGGGAGGCAGCAGUGGGGAAUUUUGGACAAUGGGGGCAACCCUGAUCUAGUCAUGCCGCGUGAGUGAAGAAGGCCUUCGGGUUGUAAAGCUCUUUCGGACAGAAAGAAAUCGCACUUACUAAUACUAGGUGUGGAUGACGGUACUGUAAGAAGAAGCACCGGCUAACUACGUGCCAGCAGCCGCGGUAA
This 502-nucleotide ribosomal RNA is filed under the name uncultured bacterium. RNAcentral describes it as "partial 16S ribosomal RNA". It matches the Rfam family "Bacterial small subunit ribosomal RNA", at positions 30 to 523 of the family's 1533-position model. The record is from RNAcentral.